UUAAAUCAAAUUUGUAUGAAGUUGGAACAUUUGCCUACGUUUGCCGCUAGGGGCGCUGUUCCAACUGCAUACAAAUUCGAGUUA
RNAcentral lists this microRNA precursor (84 nucleotides) under Bombyx mori (domestic silkworm). RNAcentral describes it as "mir-2807 microRNA precursor family". It matches the Rfam family "mir-2807 microRNA precursor family". The record is from Rfam by way of RNAcentral. Lineage: Eukaryota; Metazoa; Arthropoda; Insecta; Lepidoptera; Bombycidae.